CGGUCUGGAUAGCUACUAGCAUUUGCUAGAGGAAAGUCCAUGCUCGUACUUUCUGAGAUGGAAGUAGUGAUUGCGCUAAAGGAAAAAAUAACUUUAGGCAGGGAGGAGUCCCUGACGGCGGAUGAUGUUCUAAACCUUAUGGCAUGAACUAAUCCAUAAAGUUCCACAGUGACGAUAUUAAUGGAAACGUUAAAGUGAAACGCGGAAAACCCCACAAACGAGAAACCUAAAUUUUGGUAAGGGAAGUUCCAAUGAGAAAAUGAACUUAAAGGAACAAGCUUUAUAGCUUAGAUAAAUUGCUGUCCACGACAAAACAUGGCUUAUAGGA
Non-coding RNA from Clostridium sp. CAG:288, 328 nucleotides. NCBI's taxonomy places the organism in Bacteria, Bacillati, Bacillota, Clostridia, Eubacteriales, Clostridiaceae. The record is from Rfam.